GGUGGAGGAGGUGGUGGUGACUUGUACACGUAGUGUUCCUUAGGUGGAGGCGGCGGUGGUGACUUGUAAACAUAAUGAUGCUUAGGUGGUGGGGGUGGAGAUUUCUUAGGAGGAGGUGGUGGUGACUUGUAAACGUAGUGUUCCUUAGGUGGAGGUGGAGGUGGUGACUUGUAAACGUAAUGAUGUUUAGGUGGUGGUGGUGGAGAUUUCUUAGGUGGAGGUGGUGGUGGUGACUUGUACACGUAGUGUUCCUUCGGUGGAGGUGGAGGUGGUGAUUUGUAAACGUAAUGAUGCUUAGGUGGUGGUGGUGGAGAUUUCUUAGGUGGCGGAGGUGGUGGUGACUUGUACACGUAAUGUUCCUUAGGUGGAGGUGGUGGUGGUGACUUGUACACGUAAUGAUGUUUAGGUGGUGGUGGUGGUGGGGAUUUCUUUGGUGGAGGAGGUGGUGGUGACUUGUACACGUAGUGUUCCUUCGGUGGAGGUGGUGGUGGUGACUUGUACACGUAGUGUUCCUUUGGUGGAGGCGGUGGCGGCGAUUUGUAAACGUAAGGAUGCUUGGGUGGUGGUGGUGGUGGAGAUUUCUUUGGUGGAGGAGGUGGUGGUGACUUGUAUACGUAGUGUUCCUUAGGUGGAGGAGGUGGAGACGAGUAAGGGUAGUUUGCGGUAGUCAAUGAUGGGAAACUUGAGAGUAUAACCACUACAAGAGUGACUAAAAGGGUGACUAUUGAAGACAUCUUCCUAUCGGUUCCCAUUUCUACCCCAAAGGAGUGGAUUUGAGUU
RNAcentral lists this long non-coding RNA (780 nucleotides) under Helianthus annuus (common sunflower). RNAcentral describes it as "hypothetical non coding rna". The record is from RNAcentral. Lineage: Eukaryota; Viridiplantae; Streptophyta; Magnoliopsida; Asterales; Asteraceae.